AUCCUUGCAAAUUCCACCAAAACCCUUGCUAUUUUCUCCAAGUACACCUCCAGAGUACUCUGCAGUAUCAUCAACAACAUAUGAGUGGUCACAAGUAGAUGAAGCGAACGAAGAGAAGGUUGUCAUUCAUUGAAGUUGAAUAAGCACACAAUUUAAAAGUGUAACGAGCAAGCUGCAAGUGUCAGCAACUAAGAAUUUGAGCACUACUAAGAAACAGAAAAUUAGCUGGUGUUUCUAAGAGCUUAAUUGCUUUCGUAAACGUAGCUGUUGUUAUCAUCUGCUUUACAUUAGACCCUUAUAUUUCAGACAAUUGCAUCUGAUACUUUUAUAGCAAUCUCAUAAUUUUGGUUUUAAAAUAGCUAAGGGGUGGGCCUGCGUUUCAUUUAACCAUCAACGCCCACAUUUGUAAGGAGAAAGCGAUCAAAGCAUUCAUACCACAGCUUACUUCAGAUUGGCAGCAUUUAAGGAACAUAUGCCAGCUUCUGAACUGCUUCUAUUACCUCCCCAUCAGCAUGGUUCAUGAAAUUAUGUUCCAAAUGUAAGUUUUCUUCCGCUUAUUUAGAAAGCCAUGUAUUUCUUUGGAUGGAGUGUAUGGAUUUUUUUUUAAAGUAAGGCAAGGUAUCAAAACCUCUCAAUUGAAAAAGUAGGGACCUUAGCCCUUUUAAAAAUACUUCCUCCCGAACAAAGACACUACUUUAGAAAUCUAUAUCUUACCUCCAAAAACUUCAUCCUCGAUGAAACCUAAAAUGCAAGGUAAAUUUUUGAAAACAGGGGUUCAGGAAGAAUAUUUAUCAAAACCAGAAUGAAGAGAAACUUAUUUUGCAAAUCAGGGUUUUCAACCCCUUGUUCGCCACUAUGACUGGCAAACAAUGGGUGAGCUGCUAUUCACCAUGUCUCACUGAGAACAUUGGUGAAGAAUCAGGUUGUUCGCUAGUGAAAAUGGCAAACCUUUGAAAAGCUAGCAACGAAUGGAAUCCAAGCUGAGGAGGAUAAAAUUCAUCCAAAUGGAAGGGCUAUCCAGAUGGAAGGGCCAUACGCAUAAAAUUCAUCCAGAUAAGGGCUAUCCGGAUAGCCAUCAUGCAUAGCAGCCCUGGU
RNAcentral lists this unclassified non-coding RNA (1095 nucleotides) under Hevea brasiliensis (rubber tree). The record is from RNAcentral. Lineage: Eukaryota; Viridiplantae; Streptophyta; Magnoliopsida; Malpighiales; Euphorbiaceae.